Long non-coding RNA from Rattus rattus (black rat), 2738 nucleotides. RefSeq lists it as uncharacterized. The record is from RefSeq and is a predicted model, not a curated record. Lineage: Eukaryota; Metazoa; Chordata; Mammalia; Rodentia; Muridae. The transcript is spliced from 2 exons.
GGGCGGGAGGUGGGGUGAGGCGAGCUGGACGUGCGGGCGCGGUCGGCCUCUGGCGGGGCGGGGGAGGGGAGGGUCAGCGAAAGUGGCUGGCGCGUGAGCGGCCUCCCACCCUCCCCUUCCUCUGGGGGAGUCGUUUUACCCGCCGCCGGCCUGGCCUCGUCAUCUGAUUGGCUCUCGGGGCUCAGAAAACUGGCCUUUGCAAUUGGCCCGCGUUCAUGCAAGUUCAGUCCCUAAGCUGGCUGGCGGGGGCGGCAGGGAGGCGCUCACAGGUUCCGGCCCUCCCCCCAGGCCCCGCGCCGCAGAGUCUGGCCCCGCGCCCCUGCGCAACGUGGCAGGAAGCGCGCGCUGGGGGCGGGGACGGGCGGUCGGUCUGAGCGGCGGGCGGGUGCAAGCGGGAUUCCUCCUUGAGUUGUGGCACUGAGGAACGUGCUGAACAAGACCUACAUUGCACUCCAGGGAGUGGAUGAAGGAGUUGGGGCUCAGUCGGGUUGUUUUGGAGGCAGGAAGCACUACUUGCUCUCCAAAAGUCGGUUUGAGUUAUCAUUAAGGGAGCUGCAGUGGAGUAGGCGGAGAAAAGGCCGCACCCUUCUCAGGAGGGGGAGGGGAGUGUUGCAAUACCUUUCUGGGAGUUCUCUGCUGCCUCCUGUCUUCUGAGGACCGCCCUGGGCCUGGAAGAUUCCCUUCCCCCUUCCCUCGUGAUCUGCAACUCGAGUCUUUCUGGAAGAUGGGCGGGAGUCUUCUGGGCAGGCUUAAAGGCUAACCUGGUGUGUGGGGCGUUGUCCUGCAGAGGAAUUGAACAGGUGUAAAAUUGGAGGGGCAAGACUUCCCACAGAUUUUCGAUUGUGUUUUUAAGUAUUGUAAUAGGGGCAAAUAAGGGAAAUAGGAGACUAGGCACUCACCUGGGGGUUUUAUGCAGCAAAACUACAGGUUAUUAUUGCUUGUGAUCCGCCCUGGAGAAUUUUUCACCGAGGUAGAUUAAAGACAUGCCCACCCAAAUUUUAAUAUUCUUCCACUUGCGAUCCUUGCUACAGUAUGAAAUUACAGUAUCGUGAAUUAGAAUAUAUAAGCAGAAUUUUAAGCAUUUUAAAAGAGCCCAGUACUUCAUGUCUGUCUCUCCCACUUCUGCAGCCCUAUCAAAGGGUAUUUUAGCACACUCAUUUUAGCCCCAUUUUCAUUUGUUGUACUGGCUUAUCCAAUCCCUAGACAGAGCACUGGCAUUCCCUCUCUCCUGAUCUUAGAAGUCCGAUGACUCAUGAAACCAGACAGAUUAGUUUCAUACACCACAAAUCGAGGCUGUAGCUGGGGCCUUAACAUUGCAGUUCUUUUAUUCCUCAGUACACUUUGUUAAUUCUUUGCCUUGAUCUUGACUUCAGUUUCUAUCACCACCCCCUCAGGUGGUGUUCCACACUUGGGCCUAUUCACAGUUCAGAGAGCUUUACAACAAUAGAUGCAUUGAGAAUCCAACCUAAAGUUCAGCUUUUUACUCCCAUGAAUGCCUCUUUCCUUUUUCUCCAUUUAUAAACUGAGCCAUUUCCUGUUAAUGGUUUACAGAUGAAUAUCUCCUCCCCCAAUAUCACCUGAUGUAUCUUACAUUUUGCCAGGCUUAGAUUGUCUUAAAAGGUACAUAAAUUAACAUGUGAAAUUUAUUCCUUAAUGCUUCAGUGGAUUUCAUGAGUGCAGUACAGAAGACUGAUUGUUCCUUGAGGACAGGACAGUGCUUGUUUAAGGCUGUAUUCCUGCUGUCUGAGCAGCAACAGGUCUUCGAGAUCAACAUGAUUUUCAUAAUCCCAAGAUGUUGCCUUUUCCAUUCUCAGAAGCAAGCAGAGGCACGCUGAUACUGUCACUAUGUUGAAUGCUGCUGUGCGGUUUGGAUUUUUCUAAGGUAGUUUAGGUAGGAGGUAUGUGUUUUGUAUGAAUUAAACUCUUUAAGUUACACCUUCCAUAAUUCAUGCAGUGUUAUGCAAUUGCCAUUUUUAAGUCUUGCAGUUUUCUUCGUACAUGAGGAUAAAGGUGCUUUAGAGUGCUUAAAUAGCGUGUCUUUUGCAACAUACUAUUUAUUCAUUUUAUUUUACACAUAUGAGAGUUUUGUCUGCAUACAUGUUUGUGAGCUAUAUGCAUGCCUAGUCCUUGGUGAGAUCAGAAGAGGGUGUUGGGUCCCUUGAAACUGUAGUUACAGGGGUUGUGACCCACCAUGUGGCUGAAGUGAAUUGAACCCAGCUUCUACAAGAGCAAAGAGUGUUCUAAACCCACUGAGCCAUCUUUCCAGCUCCAACAUACUAACUUCAGAUAGUGUUGGGACCAGCAAUACUGUGUAGUCAUUUUGAAGGGAAUCAUUCCAAUGAGUGCUGGAUUGUUUUGAAUGCUGUGGAACAUUUAAAUGUUUCAUAAAACAAAACUGUCAGAAGCUUCAAAGUAGAAAUUAAAAAGCUGAAGUAUUUCAGAAGGGAAACAAGCUACUUGCUGUAUUAGUUAGAGAAAUACAUAAUAGCUAAGAAAAUUUAAAAACCAUAUACUUGACAUUGCUGAGUAUCUGCCAGAUGAAAAGAAAUGCUCAGAGUGGUUCUGUUGAGCAAUAUAACAACUUGUUAUAUUAAAGACUUUCCCACAGAUUUAAACUCUAGUCUGUAAUUCAUGUAUGUAUGUUACAAAUGGAUGAAACUUACAAACGUGGCUGGUCUUGUCACUGUGCUUGUAUUUAUGUGAAAGCUUGGCAAUAAACUUAUGUCCUAAAAUGGUCA